Salmo salar (Atlantic salmon) is the source of this 54-nucleotide non-coding RNA. The record is from Rfam. NCBI's taxonomy places the organism in Eukaryota, Metazoa, Chordata, Actinopteri, Salmoniformes, Salmonidae.
UGCAUUCACUACUGUAAGUCACUUUGGAUAAGAGCGUCUGCUAAAUGACUGAAA